CCCCUUGUGGUGUAGUUGGCUAUCACGUUCGGCUGUAAUGGAAACUUUGUAACCGAAAGGUCGCUGGCUCGAUUCCGGCCGAGGGGA
Transfer RNA from Exophiala mesophila, 87 nucleotides. It matches the Rfam family "tRNA". Rfam says of the family: Transfer RNA (tRNA) molecules are approximately 80 nucleotides in length. Their secondary structure includes four short double-helical elements and three loops (D, anti-codon, and T loops). Further hydrogen bonds mediate the characteristic L-shaped molecular structure. tRNAs have two regions of fundamental functional importance: the anti-codon, which is responsible for specific mRNA codon recognition, and the 3' end, to which the tRNAs corresponding amino acid is attached (by aminoacyl-tRNA synthetases). tRNAs cope with the degeneracy of the genetic code in two manners: having more than one tRNA (with a specific anti-codon) for a particular amino acid; and 'wobble' base-pairing, i.e. permitting non-standard base-pairing at the 3rd anti-codon position. The record is from Rfam. NCBI's taxonomy places the organism in Eukaryota, Fungi, Ascomycota, Eurotiomycetes, Chaetothyriales, Herpotrichiellaceae.